AGAGUUUGAUCCUGGCUCAGGAUGAACGCUGGCGGUAUGCUUAACACAUGCAAGUCGAACGGGAUCUUCGGAUCUAGUGGCGGACGGGUGAGUAACGCGUGAGAAUCUGCCUUUAGGACGGGGACAACAGUUGGAAACGGCUGCUAAAACCCGAUGUGCCCUUCGGGGUGAAAUAUUUAUAGCCUGAAGAUGAGCUCGCGUCUGAUUAGCUAGUAGGUGCGGUAAUGGCGUACCUAGGCGACGAUCAGUAACUGGUCUGAGAGGAUGACCAGUCACACUGGGACUGAGACACGGCCCAGACUCCUACGGGAGGCAGCAGUGGGGAAUUUUCCGCAAUGGGCGCAAGCCUGACGGAGCAAUACCGCGUGAGGGAGGAAGGCUCUUGGGUCGUAAACCUCUUUUAUCAGGGAAGAACACAAUGACGGUACCUGAUGAAUCAGCAUCGGCUAACUCCGUGCCAGCAGCCGCGGUA
RNAcentral lists this ribosomal RNA (472 nucleotides) under uncultured cyanobacterium. RNAcentral describes it as "bacterial SSU rRNA". It matches the Rfam family "Bacterial small subunit ribosomal RNA", at positions 8 to 522 of the family's 1533-position model. The record is from RNAcentral. Lineage: Bacteria; Bacillati; Cyanobacteriota.